Molecule: ribosomal RNA, 442 nt
Filed under: uncultured bacterium
Lineage: Bacteria
Description: partial 16S ribosomal RNA
Rfam family: Bacterial small subunit ribosomal RNA
Source: RNAcentral
CCUACGGGAGGCAGCAGUGGGGAAUAUUGGGCAAUGGACGCAAGUCUGACCCAGCAACGCCGCGUGUAGGAAGAAGGCUUUCGGGUUGUAAACUUCUUUUAAGGGGGACGAGCAGAAGACGGUACCCCUUGAAUAAGCCACGGCUAACUACGUGCCAGCAGCCGCGGUAAUACGUAGGGGGCAAGCGUUGUCCGGAUUUACUGGGUGGAAAGGGCGUGCAGUCGGCGGGACAAGUCAGAUGUGAAAUCCACGGGCUCAACCCGUGAACUGCAUUUGAGACUGUUUCCCUUGAGUGUCGGAGAGGGAAUCGGAAUUCCUUGUGUAGCAGUGAAAUGCGUAGAUAUAAGGAAGAACACUCGUGGCGAAGGCGGGUUCCUGGACAUUAACUGACGCUGAGGCACGAAGGCCAGGGGAGCGAAAGGGAUUAGAUACCCCAGUAGUC